UGAGUCCGCAUGUUCACAUGAUUAAAGGUAUUCCGGUAGACGAUGGGGAUGCGUUCCAUUAGAUAGUAGGCGGGGUAACGGCCCACCUAGUCUUCGAUGGAUAGGGGUUCUGAGAGGAAGGUCCCCCACAUUGGAACUGAGACACGGUCCAAACUCCUACGGGAGGCAGCAGUGAGGAAUAUUGGUCAAUGGGCGAGAGCCUGAACCAGCCAAGUAGCGUGAAGGAUGACUGCCCUAUGGGUUGUAAACUUCUUUUAUACGGGAAUAAAGUGAGGCACGUGUGCCUUUUUGUAUGUACCGUAUGAAUAAGGAUCGGCUAACUCCGUGCCAGCAGCCGCGGUAAUACGGAGGAUCCGAGCGUUAUCCGGAUUUAUUGGGUUUAAAGGGAGCGUAGGCGGACGCUUAAGUCAGUUGUGAAAGUUUGCGGCUCAACCGUAAAAUUGCAGUUGAUACUGGGUGUCUUGAGUACAGUAGAGGCAGGCGGAAUUCGUGGUGUAGCGGUGAAAUGCUUA
RNAcentral lists this ribosomal RNA (512 nucleotides) under uncultured bacterium. RNAcentral's name for it is "bacterial SSU rRNA". It matches the Rfam family "Bacterial small subunit ribosomal RNA", at positions 164 to 692 of the family's 1533-position model. The record is from RNAcentral.